RNAcentral lists this ribosomal RNA (520 nucleotides) under uncultured Glomus. Its description in RNAcentral is "SSU rRNA". It matches the Rfam family "Eukaryotic small subunit ribosomal RNA", at positions 569 to 1092 of the family's 1831-position model. The record is from RNAcentral. Lineage: Eukaryota; Fungi; Glomeromycota; Glomeromycetes; Glomerales; Glomeraceae.
AGCAGCCGCGGUAAUUCCAGCUCCAAUAGCGUAUAUUAAAGUUGUUGCAGUUAAAAAGCUCGUAGUUGAAUUUCGGGAUUAGUACGCUGGUCGUGCCUUUGGUAUGUACUGGUGUUACUGGUUCCUACCUUCUGACGAACCGUCAUGUCAUUAAUUUGGUGUGGCGGGGAAUCAGGACUGUUACUUUGAAAAAAUUAGAGUGUUUAAAGCAGGCUCGCGCUUGAAUACAUUAGCAUGGAAUAAUGAAAUAGGACGUUCGAUCCUAUUUUGUUGGUUUCUAGGAUUGACGUAAUGAUUAAUAGGGAUAGUUGGGGGCAUUAGUAUUCAAUUGUCAGGGGUGAAAUUCUUGGAUUUAUUGAAGACUAACUACUGCGGAAGCAUUUGCCAAGGAUGUUUUCAUUAAUCAAGAACGAAAGUUAGGGGAUCGAAGACGAUCAGAUACCGUCGUAGUCUUAACCAUAAACUAUGCCGACUAGGGAUCGGAUGAUGUUAUUUUUAAUGACUCAUUCGGCGCCUUACG